CCCCCUUCCAGUAUCCAGUAGUGGGUAUUCAGUUACUUACUAUUGUGUGUUGGUCGUUUACUGUGAGAAAAUUAGAGUGUUCAAAGCAGGCGUUUGCUUGAAUAGAUUAGCAUGGAAUAAUAAUUGAAGGCUUUCGUGUUCGAUUUGAUUGGUUUGUUCAUGGAAGCAAGGUUAAAAGGAACAGUUGGGGGUAUUCAUAUUCACUAGUUAGAGGUGAAAUUCUCGGAUUUA
Molecule: ribosomal RNA, 231 nt
Filed under: Blastocystis sp. subtype 1
Lineage: Eukaryota; Bigyra; Opalinata; Blastocystidae
Description: partial 18S ribosomal RNA
Rfam family: Eukaryotic small subunit ribosomal RNA
Source: RNAcentral